This is a small nuclear RNA of Solanum stenotomum, 153 nucleotides long. RefSeq annotates it as U1 spliceosomal RNA. The record is from RefSeq and is a predicted model, not a curated record. The transcript has a single exon. Lineage: Eukaryota; Viridiplantae; Streptophyta; Magnoliopsida; Solanales; Solanaceae.
AUACUUACCUGUACGGGGUCAAUGGGCGAUCAAUAAGACCAAUGGCCUAGGCUUGUGACCUCUAUUGCACUUUGGAGGAGUGCCUGCCUAAGAUCUGCGUUCGCAGCUUUUCCUUAUUUGUUUGUAACUCAAGUCUGAUUAAUAAGUUUUUUC